RNAcentral lists this ribosomal RNA (496 nucleotides) under uncultured bacterium. Its description in RNAcentral is "partial 16S ribosomal RNA". It matches the Rfam family "Bacterial small subunit ribosomal RNA", at positions 28 to 507 of the family's 1533-position model. The record is from RNAcentral.
GACGAACGCUGGCGGCGUGCCUAAUACAUGCAAGUUGAGCGCUGAAGGUUGGUACUUGUACCAACUGGAUGAGCAGCGAACGGGUGAGUAACGCGUGGGGAAUCUGCCUUUGAGCGGGGGACAACAUUUGGAAACGAAUGCAAUACCGCAUAAAAACUUUAAACACAAGUUUUAAGUUUGAAAGAUGCAAUUGCAUCACUCAAAGAUGAUCCCGCGUUGUAUUAGCUAGUUGGUGAGGUAAAGGCUCACCAAGGCGAUGAUACAUAGCCGACCUGAGAGGGUGAUCGGCCACAUUGGGACUGAGACACGGCCCAAACUCCUACGGGAGGCAGCAGUAGGGAAUCUUCGGCAAUGGACGAAAGUCUGACCGAGCAACGCCGCGUGAGUGAAGAAGGUUUUCGGAUCGUAAAACUCUGUUGGUAGAGAAGAACGUUGGUGAGAGUGGAAAGCUCAUCAAGUGACGGUAACUACCCAGAAAGGGACGGCUAACUACGUG